This is a long non-coding RNA of Drosophila sulfurigaster albostrigata, 421 nucleotides long. RefSeq lists it as uncharacterized. Lineage: Eukaryota; Metazoa; Arthropoda; Insecta; Diptera; Drosophilidae. The transcript has 2 exons. The record is from RefSeq and is a predicted model, not a curated record.
AAUAUCAAAUAAUGCUGCAAAGGCAAAAAUAAUAAAAAAAAAAAACAAACAAUAAAUUAAUAACUUGCUGAGAUCAAAGGAUUGGCGAGGGAAACUGGGUUUCUUGCCCCCUUCAUCAUGCGCCGCUGCCUUUGCUCGCUGCUGCGACGUCGCUCGCGUUCGCCUCAUAAAUUAAAUGCAAACAAAAUUUAAUUUACCAGACGACCCGCCAGGUCAAACAGUCGACAAAGGUUCGACGAAAAUACUAUGCAGGCAAAGCCCAGAUAGGCAAACUCAGCUCAGCUCAGCUCGAUGCAGGAAAACAAAAGCGAGAAAGCAACAGUUAAAUGAGGAAAUCUAAAUGGAAAUUUCAAAUGUGUGUUUCAAAUGGGCAAAUUACAACAACAAUAACAAAGCAGCCAAGCACACACCCACACACAUA